RNAcentral lists this ribosomal RNA (264 nucleotides) under uncultured Hyphomicrobiales bacterium. RNAcentral's name for it is "uncultured Rhizobiales bacterium partial 16S ribosomal RNA". It matches the Rfam family "Bacterial small subunit ribosomal RNA", at positions 502 to 767 of the family's 1533-position model. Lineage: Bacteria; Pseudomonadati; Pseudomonadota; Alphaproteobacteria; Hyphomicrobiales. The record is from RNAcentral.
CUUGUGCCAGCAGCCGCGGUAAUACGAAGGGGGCUAGCGUUGUUCGGAUUUACUGGGCGUAAAGCGCACGUAGGCGGACUAUUAAGUCAGGGGUGAAAUCCCGGGGUCAACCCCGGAACUGCCUUUGAUACCGGUAGUCUCGAGUCCGGAAGAGGUGAGUGGAAUUCCGAGUGUAGAGGUGAAAUUCGUAGAUAUUCGGAGGACACCAGUGGCGAAGGCGGCUCACUGGUCCGGUACUGACGCUGAGGUGCGAAAGCGUGGGGA